GUCGAGUAGAUUCUUUAUCAAUAUAUAAAUAUAGAAUCAGCAAGAAACUUGGUCAGUACUCUCUGACUGUUCACACGUGUUUACACAGCAUAGCCUAGAAGUCGGGACACAGGAAAUACGGACAUACUGGGAGAAAAUAUUAUUAAUAACCAUUUGCAUCAGUUGAACGUACGGAAAGAAAAUUCAAUUCUAGACUCUAUUUUGGUAAAAAGAUUGACAAGAACCAGUACUUCGCCAUGUAAAAACGUGGAAUCUUUUCAUUGACUUAAUAGCUUAGAAUAUUAACAAAAUGAACAAAAAAAGUGUCGGUGCUCUCGAUGUUGGUCGAGCUAAAAUCAAAAGAGCCGAAUACGACGAUGGUCUGAUACGCGAUAAUGUUCGAAUUGACAAUAAACAUAUGAGAGAAUUACGUGUGCACGAACGCGCUAAAAAUGUAAUCAGUCGAACGUUCGAUAAAGAAUCUCAACUUUUUAAGCAAAAGCAAGCCUCACAAAAGGCAAGGCCAACCGGUUUGAAUUCCCAAGGGCACAAGCUUAGAUUGUCCAGUACGGGGCCCAAUAAUUUCGCACUCGGAUCACCUAAUGCGAUUUCUAAUCACUGGAGCAGCGGUUCGAGUCCGAAUGGAACACUCUCGCCCGCUAUUUCUGACUCGCGAUCUACAGAAAGUAAAUCACCAGUAACACCAUGGGGAGACAACCAUCAAUUCCAGUAUUCGCCAGACCUGGUGAUGCCGCCUAUCCAAACUAAUGGACAAAGAUCGCCAGAUAUGCCGAGUGGAACAGAACCACCUUCUCUAACCAAAGUGAAAGUAGGAACAACACAGGUUAGUUCGCGAUUAAGCAUUCCACAUAGACAGUUAUCGCGAAACAGUAUUUCCGAUGAGACAGAUUCUGUAAGCAAAAACCGAAUCAAAAGUGCUUCUAGGGCAACCUAUAUGGAUCCGUUCACUGGCAGAGUUCGCGAAGAAACUGUCUUCGAUUUUCUAAGUAAGCCUAGGAAUAACUAUGAAGUUCAAAAAAGAAAAGACAUUCGAGUUCAACUUGAAAAAGAAUUCAGUCAUAGGAAAGAUGAGGCGCCAAAGAAAGUCGCCGCUAGAUCAAGUCUAAAGAAAAAGACAAUACCAAUUUCGCCGUUUCAAAAACGGGAUGGACGGAUUUAGAUUAUGGAACUUAUCGACAAAUUCAAAAUACUAGACCCUCGAAGGCCUAUAAGACAAUAAUUAACAUAUUCGUGGCUAUAACGUGAACGGGCAUAUUUAGUAUAAAAAUGUAUUUGUCCAAUGAUCAAGUGUGCAGCCCAUAAUGUGAUAAACCAAACUGAGUAGCAAAUGUUUUGUAAUUUAAUAAUAUGGCGAAUGCAUUUUGUGUGUUUUAGCUUUCCAUAAAGUAUUAAAUAAUGGAUAUGCUAAAUUCGUGCGUUAAUGGUAUAGUAAAUGCAUUUGUGUGUUUUAGCUUAUAAAGUAUUAAUACAUUUAACAGGUAAUCACAAUCUGAUUAAAACCAUGAUCCUAUUUCGUUUCGUUUUAUUAGUCUACACGACGAACUGGAAUAGUGGUAGUACCUUAGUUCUUUAACGUCUGCUGCCACAAAAGUGAUAUCGCAGAGAAGACGAAAGGAUAAAUGAAAUGGGGUUUAACGUCCUUCUAUUCUGUUGCAACUGGACUAAUGAAGAUGGUAUGAGGGGAAUUAUGAACCGCCAGCGGCGCUACGUACGUCCUAUAACUCUUAUAUCUAAUUCCAACAGCCAAUUAAUUCUCUACGUUGUCCUUUGCAAGGCGACAGGAACCGUAAAGAAUGGGGGUCACGUGGCUAAGUGGGUAAGACGCUGGCUCGCUAGCCUGGAGGUCGGGUGUUCGAUCCCUGCUUUGGCCGAGAAAGUUCAUCCAGAUUUUCCGGCGUGGUUCCCUCUUGUCAGUGAUACAGGACGGAGGGCCUGACAAGGACAGCUAUCUAGUCGUUCGGAUGGGACGAAAAACCGAGGUCCCGUGUACACAGUGGCGUGCACGUAAAAGAUCCCUUGACAGUUGGAAUUAGUUAUAAGAGUAGGUCGUAGUGCCGCUGUUCGGGCAAAAUUUCCCUCAUAGCACACUGUAUGGCGUAUGCCCGUCUUCAUUAGCCCAGUUCGGUGCAGAACAGUAGGACGUUAAACCCAUUUCAUUUCAUUUCAUUUCACGUAAAGAAUGUUUAAAUAACAGUGUUCUCUUCCAUAUGAGACAUUAGCCAAUGAAAAUUAUGUACUGAUACAAAUAAUAUUCAAUAUAUCUGUUUUAGUUUACUCGCUCAAAAUUUACAUCAGAAUGCACAAGAUCCAAUCUAAUUUUCAAAAUGCUCGGGGGGGGGGGGUAUUUAUGUGGGUGUUUAGACUUUAAUUUCCAUCACCUGCGAAACACUUAACGAGUAUCAAAAUAUGGCUAUCGAGCAGAGAUCAACUAUUUCUUCUGUGAAAUGAGUGUGUAUAUUUUUGACGCCCACAUUUAAUUUCGUCGCCCGCAAUUGUCCAAAUGACUUGAAUUUUACACGCGGUGUUUAUGUUUAGAAGUCAAUAUUUAAUCAUUAUUUUCACAGUUGUUGGCUGUUGCCUGAUCAGAUUGAAAAAAGCCUUGUGGUGGCUCUCGAGGCUAAAGUUAUCAUCAUAUAAUUGACAUUGAAUAUAACACAAUGUGAUAACUUCUAUGAACUUCCCGGAUGACGUAUAAGCUGCAGCAGGCGUGUAUUUCGUUGCCUGGUAAUCAGUAUCUGUUGUUUUGUUUUUUAAAGACCCCGCAUCACCGCCUUUAAAUGAACAAUUCAUUGCAGGCUUGUAGCAAGAUCGCUAACAGUUGCAAAAGGAGAACCAUAUUUAUAAAGAAAGUUUUCGAAGUUUGAAACUAGCCAAAUUGAUUUUUUUAAAAAUAUCUAAGAAUAAUUUGGUGUUAAACUUUUAAUUUAAUUAAAACAAAUAAUAUAUCUAA
This is a long non-coding RNA of Patella vulgata (common limpet), 2950 nucleotides long. RefSeq lists it as uncharacterized. Lineage: Eukaryota; Metazoa; Mollusca; Gastropoda; Patellidae. The transcript has 2 exons. The record is from RefSeq and is a predicted model, not a curated record.